CCUACGGGAGGCAGCAGUGGGGAAUAUUGGACAAUGGGCGAAAGCCUGAUCCAGCAAUGCCGCGUGAGUGAAGAAGGCCUUCGGGUUGUAAAGCUCUUUUACCCGGGAAGAUAAUGACCGUACCGGGAGAAUAAGCCCCGGCUAACUCCGUGCCAGCAGCCGCGGUAAUACGGAGGGGGCUAGCGUUGUUCGGAAUCACUGGGCGUAAAGCGUGCGUAGGCGGCCAUUCAAGUCAGAGGUGAAAGCCCAGGGCUCAACCCUGGAACUGCCUUUGAAACUAGGUGGCUGGAACACGGGAGAGGUGAGUGGAAUUCCGAGUGUAGAGGUGAAAUUCGUAGAUAUUCGGAAGAACACCAGUGGCGAAGGCGGCUCACUGGACCGUUGUUGACGCUGAGGCACGAAAGCGUGGGGAGCAAACAGGAUUAGAUACCCUGGUAGUCCACGCCGUAAACGAUGAUAACUAGCUGUUGGGGCUCUUUGAGCUCCACGUGGCGCAGCUACGACAUUAAGUUAUCCGUCCGUCGGGUAGGUACGGCCGCGAACGGUUAAACGUAACGAAAGAAGUUAGACGGCGUGAGACGUCGCCGAACGGACGACGACGAGGGAGGUAGG
RNAcentral lists this ribosomal RNA (612 nucleotides) under uncultured bacterium. Its description in RNAcentral is "bacterial SSU rRNA". The stretch from base 1 to 519 matches the Rfam family "Bacterial small subunit ribosomal RNA", at positions 338 to 873 of the family's 1533-position model. The record is from RNAcentral.